UAUUUUAUGCAACACUGAUCACUAAAUACAUGAUUUAUAGUGCAGAAUGAUUUGAUGUAUUGUUCCGGAAUUUACUAGAAGAAGAUCAAGCAUGAUUCAUGCUGUAUUGAGUUCUUUGAAUCAAAAAUUAGUUAAUAAAUCAGCCAAACUUUACUGAAAUAUAGUUUUAAACAUUUAAACACUUAAAUAGGCAAUUAUUUAAAGAUUUCAAACAAAAUGAUGUUAUAAGAUCUUCUCCAAAUAUGGAAAGAUCCUGCUUGUAUUUGAAAUGAAAAGAACAUGAUCUAGAAAUAAAAUUAAAAUACAAAGUUGCCUAAUGUUUGUAAAAUACACCAGAAGUUUUAUUUUUUUCAAAAAAUGUUCGUUUUUUUUUUUCUCCUCAAAGUCAUCUUGGGUAACUUGAACAUAAAGAAUGAAAUGUAAAUCCUGUGGGGAACAAAGGCACAAUAUUUCUUCACUUCCUUCUCUGGGAUUUAUACCGAAUCAUUUUGGUUAGUUCAUCAGUACAAAUCAAAAGUAUUUUUAAGUCCUGACACCAUUCACCAACUAUUAAACUCCAUAUUACUUUACCCUGCAAUGUCUGUAGCUCUGUUUUUAUUUCUGAUUUUGCUAAAUUCAUGUCAUUUGGUUUGUGUUUACUACUUUCAUCCACUAGAUGUCCUCAGAUACUUCUAUUUUGGCUUAAAACUUAUUUCAGAUUUCAUUUAGAUCCACUUACACUGCUGAAUUUUCAAAAUCUGUUUAGUAGAUAAUUUUAUCUCGUUAACUAUUUUUCCUACAAUUCUGAAAUGAAAAAAAAAAACAUUUUUUAAAUCAAAUUACCAGUACUAUACUAACUCUAUGAAUCAUCUGCUACAGUCUACACCAACUCCUUUUAUUGGAAUCCACCUUCAAAGUAAAAAACUAGAAUUUUGAUUGAUUGCACAUGAGAAGAACCUGGUUCCUGUAAGUGGAAACACUUUGCAUCAGCAGCUCCAUGCUCCAGUGCUCUGGGAGACUUUAUAGUCCUGAGAGUUGAAGACUGGAUGACUGACAGCUGUCCUUCAUCACAGCAGAAGACACAGAAAUCCUCCUCCUCCUCCUCAUCACUAAAAGCAUGACUUUGAUCUGCGUCCUCAUCUGGACUCUCCUCUGCUUCAUUCAGGGUUCUGUUGGACAAAAUGUUGUUGUGACUCAGCCAGCAGCUAAAUCAGUGCAGCUCGGUCAGACCGUCUCUAUUGACUGUAAAGUCAGUCAAGAAGUAGGUUGGGAUGGUUCACGUAAUAAUAAACGAUACUAUCUUACCUGGUACCAUCGGAAAUCUGGAGAAGCUCCUAAAGCUCUGAUCAAAUUUACAUCAGAGAGAUUUUCAGGAAUCUCCUCCAGAUUCAGUGGAAGUGGAACAGGAAAUGGAAUUGACUUCACUCUGACCAUCAGUGGAGUCCAGGCUGAAGAUUCAGGAGUUUAUUACUGUCAGAGUAUACAUGGUGGUCCUGUAAUCACACAGUGAAAAGUCGUCGUACAAAAACCUCCUUCAUCAGAAUGAACUGAAACUCAUUUGAAUGUUUCUGCCUCAAGUUCUUCCAGAAACUGAAACUCUGAUUUACUGUAGAAACACUAAACAGAUGAAGAAAAACACAAUUCAAAGAAUUUUGGUGUUGAUGA
Non-coding RNA from Oryzias melastigma (Indian medaka), 1644 nucleotides. Lineage: Eukaryota; Metazoa; Chordata; Actinopteri; Beloniformes; Adrianichthyidae. The record is from the annotation of a RefSeq genome assembly.